UGCGUACCUUGGAAAUGUAAGAAAUUGUAUUUAUUACUCGUUUGUUAUUUCAAGUAUUAUGUUGUUUGUUAAUAUCUAUCAAUCACUGUUUUCUUUGUCAAUGUUAUGUAGAUUCACAAUCGAGGAGCUUCCUGGGAAUCCAGUCCAUAAGACAAAAUGACGAGAUAGAAAUCUUCUCAAUUGGAAAAACACUACGAAAAAAAUAGAGGCACUUACGAUCCAAGUUGACAGAAGAUAGAAGACGUCCCCUGAGCAUCUGCAACACACUCUGCGCUGGCCUCGCAAAGGGCUCUUUCGGCGCAGCCUCGUUGACCUUCAUCUUCCGCACGACCAACGUUAUUAAAUGACUUCACUGACCUCAUGUAGCCCUAAAAUGAAAAUCGCGUUAAUCUCAGAACGGAUAACAACAGAACCUAGCUGCCAGGGAACGAUGAGAGAACGAGGUCUUCAACGCGUCCAGAAGAUUGAUCACUAUGCUAAUGAACUGUUUCGGAGAAAUUGAUCCAUUAAAUGCGUGUAAGAAUUAUAAUACUAGGCGAAAUCGACAGAGCAAAAGCAUUAUUCUACUCGUGGAAAGCGUACUUUUUAUUUUAUUUUAGCUUAUCGACGCUUCGUCAAUUCCUCCGUCGUUGAUUUUAAUAAAAUUUUUCACAUAAACUUCAUUAUAAAAUUUCGAUGUGAUAAAUAGACUGUGGAUUUUUGUG
This is a long non-coding RNA of Bombus terrestris (buff-tailed bumblebee), 704 nucleotides long. RefSeq lists it as uncharacterized. The transcript is spliced from 3 exons. Lineage: Eukaryota; Metazoa; Arthropoda; Insecta; Hymenoptera; Apidae. The record is from RefSeq and is a predicted model, not a curated record.